This 413-nucleotide ribosomal RNA is filed under the name uncultured bacterium. Its description in RNAcentral is "bacterial SSU rRNA". It matches the Rfam family "Bacterial small subunit ribosomal RNA", at positions 28 to 418 of the family's 1533-position model. The record is from RNAcentral.
GAUGAACGCUGGCGGCGUGCCUAACACAUACAAGUCGAGCGGUAUAUAUUGGAAUGAAACUUCGGUCGAGUGAAGAUAUAGAGAGCGGCGGACGGGUGAGUAACGCGUGGGCAACCUGCCUCAUACAGAGGGAUAGCCUCGGGAAACCGGGAUUAAAACCUCAUAAAGCCAUUGAAACAUAAGUGGCAUCACUGAGUUUUGAAAGAAUUUCGGUGGAGGAUGACUUCGCGGCCUAUCAGCUAGUUGGUGAGGUAAUGGCUCACCAAGGCAACGACGGGUAGCCGGCCUGAGAGGGCGACCGGCCACACUGGGACUGAGACACGGCCCAGACUCCUACGGGAGGCAGCAGUGGGGAAUAUUGGGCAAUGGAGGAAACUCUGACCCAGCGACGCCGCGUGCGGGAUGAAGGCCUU